GCCUUCGUGGUGUAGUGGUGAGGACGCUCGACGUGUAUUCGAGAGGUCCGUGGUUCGAGUCCCGGCGAGGGCG
Molecule: transfer RNA, 73 nt
Filed under: Stegodyphus mimosarum
Lineage: Eukaryota; Metazoa; Arthropoda; Arachnida; Araneae; Eresidae
Rfam family: tRNA
About the family: Transfer RNA (tRNA) molecules are approximately 80 nucleotides in length. Their secondary structure includes four short double-helical elements and three loops (D, anti-codon, and T loops).
Source: Rfam by way of RNAcentral